Molecule: long non-coding RNA, 918 nt
Organism: Pseudopipra pipra
Lineage: Eukaryota; Metazoa; Chordata; Aves; Passeriformes; Pipridae
Exons: 6
Source: RefSeq, a predicted model, not a curated record
CCAGAGAUAUACAUGUUGAAGUUUAAAAUGAUCCUUUUCCUAAUCCUUUGUUGUCUUGAGGCUCUCCCCUCAGGAACUCCAGGAACUCCUGGUGCCGCCUGGGCCGAUGGAUUGGACGCCCCAGCCCCUCCGUUCCUGCCCAGCCACUGGGUCCGUGUCCAGUGGUGGCACUGCCAGCCCUGCAGUGGGAUGUAGCCUGGAAAGUGCACAGAGCUGAGCCAAGGGAUUGAAAGGGACCAAGCAAGGGAGGUGAAGAAAGAAGGAAGAAGGAAAGUGAGGCAUGAGCCAAGCAGCAGCAAGUUGCUGUGUAAGCAGGUGAAAAUGAGGCACAGAAGGACUUAAUGAGUACCAAUGAACUGAUCUGGAGGGCUGUAUUCACAUCCUGGAUUGCAAAAAUUAACUGGAUUUUGUCUCCUGAAUUUCUGCAGUGCACCAACUGAUAUCAUGCUGGAAAAAUAACACACUUCAAUGCCAGGCCAAAGCCCUGAUCCAGCCCAGCUCUGCCCAGUGCCCUGGGCUGGGAGCAGCCAAAGGCAAGAGGCUGCAGCCCCGCCGGCCGGGCUGGGGGCUCCUGGUGCUGCCCGUGGGGUGGGCCCGCAAUUCCAUGCCGAAUUCCUGCUGCAACAGCCUCCCAGUGCCUCCUGGAGCCCGGAUCUUCCCCCGCAGAGCUGCCACUUUAACGCCAGGUUUGCCAGGAAGCAGCCACGGUUCCAGCCCCGCCGGUGUCCCUGGGGGGACUUGAGCGAGUUCCUUGGAAUUCGGCCGAUUCUCCGCCCCGGGCCGGGCUCCAGGGGAUGUGUUGGCCCAGGAGAAGGCGGGGGCCGGACGCGCUCCCGGCCCGGGGCGAGGCAGCCCCUGAGCACGGGCGAGGACGUCUCUCCGGGCCGGGAAGCCGCUGUCCCUUCGGAGCCUCGGGAG